GAUGAACGCUGGCGGCGUGCCUAAUACAUGCAAGUCGAGCGAAUGGAUUGAGAGCUUACUCUUAUGAAGUUAGCGGCGGACGGGUGAGUAACACGUGGGUAACCUGCCCAUAAGACUGGGAUAACUCCGGGAAACCGGGGCAAAUACCGGAUAACAUUUUGAACCGCAUGGUUCGAAAUUGAAAGGCGGCUUCUGCAGUCACUUAUGGAUGGACCCGCGUCGCAUUAGCUAGUUGGUGGGGUAACGGCUAACCAAGGCAACGAUGCGUAGCCGACCUGAGAGGGUGAUCGGCCACACUGGGACUGAGACACGGCCCAGACUCCUACGGGAGGCAGCAGUAGGGAAUCUUCCGCAAUGGACGAAAGUCUGACGGAGCAACGCCGCGUGAGUGAUGAAGGCUUUCGGGUCGUAAAACUCUGUUGUUAGGGAAGAACAAGUGCUAGUUGAAUAAGCUGGCACCUUGACGGUACCUAACCAGAAAGCCACGGCUAACUACGUGCCAGCCGCCGCAGUAA
RNAcentral lists this ribosomal RNA (515 nucleotides) under uncultured bacterium. Its description in RNAcentral is "partial 16S ribosomal RNA". It matches the Rfam family "Bacterial small subunit ribosomal RNA", at positions 28 to 523 of the family's 1533-position model. The record is from RNAcentral.